GUGCACCACUUUGAGAGUCGUGAGGAAGUUCCCGAGGAAGAGCAGCAAAAACGUGAACGCCAACACGAAAACCUGAGAGCGGCAGAGGAGGAGAAAAAGGAAAGAAACAUUUGCCACGGGUGCCUUUGAUCCAAAGCACCUUCCUAUGGUGCUGCAACAGCCACAGAGGGCGGAAUGGGAUCACUCAACUUACGUGCCCGAAGAACAAGAAGGGAAGGAGAAACGUCAGCCCUCGCCACAUCCAGGACUGGAAUCCUUCUGGAAAUGUUCAAAGAGGCAGCAGGUCUUCAUGUCUGGCCCCGCAGCAAUGCCCCCUCUCUGGAAAGCACCCCAAAACGGGAACCCCCACCCGCAGCCCUGGGGACAGCCGUGCUUGCAGAAGCGAUGGCUUCAUCCCUGCUGCCCACACCAGCGCUGGGAACCCUGUCCUCCAGCAGCUCCCAGAAACCAGCCCGUUUUUACAUCAUUAGAUGUAGAACUUUAUCUCUGGGCUAACAGGAUGCUGGCUCCUCAAAAGGUGGCAAACAAGACAAGUUAGAGCCCAAUUAAUUAACGCAACAGGGAGCUGCAAACAUUGCAGCAGCAGCCACCAACCAACGCACAUGGGAAGAGACGCGGCGACUGCUGCAGUUUCCCUGCGCCAGCCUGUCUGGGUGAUGAAAACUGGGGACACGCAGCCAUCAGGUUAUUGCUAAAAUCCAACACCAGACUCCAGGUUCAGUUACACAAAUGCAAACUCCAGCAACUUCUUGACCCAGACCCAAGGGAAAUAGU
Columba livia (rock pigeon) is the source of this 774-nucleotide long non-coding RNA. RefSeq lists it as uncharacterized. The record is from RefSeq and is a predicted model, not a curated record. The transcript is spliced from 3 exons. Lineage: Eukaryota; Metazoa; Chordata; Aves; Columbiformes; Columbidae.